Molecule: long non-coding RNA, 641 nt
Organism: Gossypium raimondii (Peruvian cotton)
Lineage: Eukaryota; Viridiplantae; Streptophyta; Magnoliopsida; Malvales; Malvaceae
Exons: 3
Source: RefSeq, a predicted model, not a curated record
UUGAGGUUAUCGGAACAGUGGUUUCGGGACCACAAAUCCGAUGAGAAAAAUUUUAUUUUUCUUAUAUUUUUAUGGUCUACAAUUUCACAAAAUGAUUUCGUGAAAAUUUCGUUCGAAAAUUUCGACGUUUGGGCACUCAAUUUAGUCAAAAGGACUAAAUUGUAAAAAGUGCAAAAGUUGAGUUCUACAUGUUAGAGGUGUCCAAUUGUUAUGAAACUUUAAAUUGGAGGUCCUUAUAUGGUAAUUAUACCAUUGGUAACUUGGUAGACAAAAAUGGACAUGAGAUAAGUGAAAUAGAAAAUUUUUAAGUUAGGGGCAAUUUGGUAAUCUAGUAAUUAAAAUGAAUUAAAAGGGAAAAAGAUGGCAAAAAUCAUCAUCUUCUUCAUUAGGACGAAAUCAGCAAGGGGGGAAGCCAUAGUUAGGGUUUUCAAGCUUCCAAGCUCCAUAAUCAAGAAGUACGAAACUCGAGGUUAGACAAAGGGAAGAAUAAAGUUGAAGACUAAGUUGGUGAAUUUGGCUAUAAUUGGUACCGAGUAUUGCAAAGCUACUUCAAGGAUCCUAAAGAAGUCGGAGAUCGUCCACACUAUCAACCACAACUGCUCGGUAUUUUAUGUCAAAACACGUUUGAGUUAUGGCAUGUA